UGGCGGACGGGGGAGUAAUGUCUGGGAAACUGCCCGAUGGAGGGGGGUAACUACUGGAAACGGUAGCUAAUACCGCAUAACGUCGCAAGACCAAAGAGGGGACCUUCGGGCCUCUUGCCAUCGGAUGUGCCCAGAUGGGAUUAGCUAGUAGGUGGGGUAACGGCUCACCUAGGCGACGAUCCCUAGCUGGUCUGAGAGGAUGACCAGCCACACUGGAACUGAGACACGGCCCAG
Molecule: ribosomal RNA, 234 nt
Filed under: uncultured bacterium
Lineage: Bacteria
Description: partial 16S ribosomal RNA
Rfam family: Bacterial small subunit ribosomal RNA
Source: RNAcentral